CUUUGAGAGUGUUACACUUGGACAUGCAGCCAAGGUCCUCAGUCUCUUCCAGCCUAGUGGAGAUGAGGGGGAACUGGCUGCCCUCACAUAUGGGCGAGACUCAAAACUCGUGACAGUGACUUUUAGUUCAGCCUUGCAGAUAAUCACAUGCAGACCGAUCUACUGUUUAUAACACACCUGCUUCUGCCACAGAAAGUAGUACAUCAUUGAGAAUAAAUAGAUGGAUAGGGAAAUAAUGUCUACAAACAUAUACAGAAAGUCAGCCUUCCCAUUUUGGAUUCAUUGUCAAGUAACUGGCUAAAGGCUGGACCUGGCUGUUCUGAGAAAAAGGGGAGAAGAUACACAGAUACAUGGAGGAAAGAAGGCUGUGGAGCCAUCCAGUCAGACUGGAGGGAUGCAGCUGCAAGCCCAGGGACGCCAAGGAUUGCCAGCAAUCCCCAGAAACCAGGACAGAGGCAGGGCACAGACUCCCCCUUGGAGCCUCCAGAAGGGACCAACCCUGCUGACACUCUGAUUUCAGAAUUCUGGCCUCCUGAACUGGAAGAGAAUAAAUUUCUGUUGUUUAAGUCGCCCCGUUUAUGGUAAUUUGCUAUGGCAGCCUGAGGAAAUGAACACAACAGGGAAAAGGACUGAGGGUCUCCCUGUAAUGUUGGCAUUUUUUUAGGUGACAAUAGAGAAGAGGGCAGAGUUUCAUACCAACGUAUGAAUUACUAAUAUCGACUCUUUAUGCUCCACUGAGAAAGCAAUUUUGGAAUAAGUGUAAUCAAAAUGCAAACAAGUAAGCCUGCCUGUUCUGUUUACACUUAUGUACGCUUUUGACAAAAGGAAACAUAUAUUUAUUUGGCACCCAAUACGUGCUAGGCAAUGCGAUAGGUGCUUUCAUAUCUAACAUUUCACUUAAUUUUCACAAUAAUUCCGACCCUGUGAGGGAGGAAUUACUAUGCCCAUUUUGCUGUUCAGGAAACUGAGGCUCAGAGAGCAUGAACAACUGACUACCAGGCACAGAGCUAUGGGGGCAAAAGUGGCUGCGCAGAGUGUAAGUGCAGGAGUCCCAGGGGUGGAGCUGAAACAGCCAACCUUUCUGUCGGCCUGAGCCCUCUACCUUGGAGUCCUUCACGUCUUCAUGCGUCUCCCUGGGCUCGGCAAGGCUGUGCCGGUGAAGGAUGCUAAGAUCAUUGCCACUCUGGAGGAGCAAGACAUCUGACCCACUGUCACAUGGCAGGGGCCCUGGCAGAGGGGCAUGGUAGCCUUUCUCAGGGAGAGGGAUGUGGCAAGGCAGCCCCUGGUGGUGAACCUUGCAGGGGUGGUGCCCGGAAAUGACCCAUUUACCUGUGCCUCUCUUCACAGCAUGCCACGCCCUCCCACACAUACUUUCUAACGUGACCCUGAUACUUCCCUGGAUGAUGUGAACAGCCCCACUGAACAAAUAGCCGAGGACAGAGCAGAUCAGAGAGGAUGAAGGCCUUGUCCCUGGUUGCACAGCUAAGAGCCUCAUGACAAGGCCAGGCACAGUGGCUCACACCUGUAAUCCCAAAACUUUGGGAGGCUGAGGCGGGAGGAUCACUUGAGGUCAGGAGUUCGAGACCAGCCUGGCCAAAAUGGUGAAACCCCGUCUCUACUGAAAAUACAAAAAUUCACCAGAUGUGGUGGCACAUGCCUGUAAUCCCAGCUACUCAGGAGGCUGAGACAGGAGAAUCACUUGAACCGGGGAGGCAGAGGUUGAAGUGAGCCGAGAUUGAGCCACUGCACUCCAGCUUCCAGCCUGGGCAACAAGAGCGAAACUCCGUCUCACAAAAAAAAAACAACA
RNAcentral lists this long non-coding RNA (1807 nucleotides) under Homo sapiens (human). Its description in RNAcentral is "HSALNT0169349". Lineage: Eukaryota; Metazoa; Chordata; Mammalia; Primates; Hominidae. The record is from RNAcentral.